Long non-coding RNA from Helianthus annuus (common sunflower), 447 nucleotides. RefSeq lists it as uncharacterized. The transcript has 3 exons. Lineage: Eukaryota; Viridiplantae; Streptophyta; Magnoliopsida; Asterales; Asteraceae. The record is from RefSeq and is a predicted model, not a curated record.
UGUUUAACAAAGCAAACAAGGGAACAAACUUGAGGGACCAAAGAUGAACAAGGGGGAAAGUUAUGUCUUAAGUAACAAACACACCCACACAAGCACACACACAUUUCGUGUGUUCUAGAACGAUCAGGGGGAACUCCCCAUGAACCAAACCCUAGUUCUAACACAAUCAUCAAAUUGAGGAGUCAAAUGAAGCUCAAAUUCACAACCAAACAUGAAUUAAGGAUCACCUACUCAAGGGGAUCAUGAGGAAUCAUGUCGAGACGGAAUCAAGCACGGAUGGAUAAUGGGUCAAGAAGUGGCGAGGAAACGAAUAUGAACACGGAUGCAUGAGGUAGGUAGAACGUACGUAUGCGUUUAGAUGAAUAUGGGCUCACGAGAGGAUCCAUACACGAAGGUAUGCACGUAUGUAGGUUUGUGUGAAGGCAGGUAAUAAGUAUGUAUGUAUGU